CUCGAUCUUGACGUGCAACACCUCUGCUAUUUCAGUGUUGCGGCGGGGACACAGCUGGUCCUGAGAAGGCAUCAUACUCAGACAAGCCUGCAAGAUUGCCUUCAUUCCUGUUGUUUCCGUUAGUGAUGCUUGUCCAUGGAAUGAUAAUCUCAUUUUCCUCUGUGGGUUGAUGUUCUGUCAUCAGAGGAGUGUCAGGAAGACCUAUUACAGAGCAGACAUCUAAGAUGAGGUCUUCCAUGCUAAACUAGCAGCAGCAACUGAGAAACACUUGCCA
Molecule: long non-coding RNA, 274 nt
Organism: Nyctereutes procyonoides (raccoon dog)
Lineage: Eukaryota; Metazoa; Chordata; Mammalia; Carnivora; Canidae
Exons: 3
Source: RefSeq, a predicted model, not a curated record